RNAcentral lists this transfer RNA (71 nucleotides) under Calycophyllum spruceanum. RNAcentral's name for it is "tRNA-Gly". It matches the Rfam family "tRNA". From Rfam's summary of the family: Transfer RNA (tRNA) molecules are approximately 80 nucleotides in length. Their secondary structure includes four short double-helical elements and three loops (D, anti-codon, and T loops). Further hydrogen bonds mediate the characteristic L-shaped molecular structure. tRNAs have two regions of fundamental functional importance: the anti-codon, which is responsible for specific mRNA codon recognition, and the 3' end, to which the tRNAs corresponding amino acid is attached (by aminoacyl-tRNA synthetases). tRNAs cope with the degeneracy of the genetic code in two manners: having more than one tRNA (with a specific anti-codon) for a particular amino acid; and 'wobble' base-pairing, i.e. permitting non-standard base-pairing at the 3rd anti-codon position. The record is from RNAcentral. RNAcentral also lists the same sequence under 1 other name. Lineage: Eukaryota; Viridiplantae; Streptophyta; Magnoliopsida; Gentianales; Rubiaceae.
GCGGGUAUAGUUUAGUGGUAAAACCCUAGCCUUCCAAGCUAACAAUGCGGGUUCGAUUCCCGCUACCCGCU